AUGACGGAGGUGGCGCUUCUCCGGGGCCCGACCAACCUCGCUUCCCCCGCAAGCCGCAGCCCCUCCUCCUCCCUGCGCUAUUUAGCCAAUGCCGACAGCGACGUGCUGCAGAGAGGUGGCAGCGGAGAGAGCCCUACAGGAUCCGCAGGACGGACUGAGCGAGAGGUACAAGGAUCGGAGGAAGAGGAGCGGUGGUCUUUCUUGGCGCUGCUGCUUGCGUUGCUGCGGAAGUCGUUUCUCGGUUGCAGGGAGGAGGGCCCCCAAGGCGAAGGUUGUGCGAUGGAGAUCGGGUGGCCGACGGAGGUGCAGCACGUGGCGCAUGUCACCUUUGAUAGGUUCCAUGGAUUCCUGGGGCUGCCCGUCGAGCUCGAACCCGAGGUGCCCCGCCGCGCUCCCAGUGCCAGUGCAAGUGUCUUUGGAGUUUCAACAGAAUCAAUGCAGUGUUCGUAUGAUUCCAGAGGAAACAGUGUUCCGACAAUUCUCUUGAUGAUGCAGAGACGUCUUUAUGAACAAGGUGGUCUUCGGGCAGAAGGUAUUUUUCGUAUAAAUCCAGAGAAUAGCCAGGAGGAGCUUGUGAGAGACCGGCUAAACAGCGGAAUCGUGCCGUAUGGUAUUGAUGUCCACUGUUUGUCAGGUCUAAUAAAAGCAUGGUUUAGAGAACUGCCGAGCGGGGUGCUGGACCCUAUUCCACCUGAACAGGUGAUGCAAUGCCAAUCUGAAGAGGAUUGUGCUCGGGUUGCCAAAUGCCUCCCACUAGCUGAAGCGGCCUUACUUGACUGGGCCGUUAAUUUGAUGGCUGACGUCGUCCAAGAAGAAAAGAUAAACAAGAUGAAUGCUCGAAACAUUGCUAUGGUUUUUGCACCAAAUAUGACUCAGAUGGCAGAUCCUUUGACUGCACUAAUGUAUGCAGUCCAAGUGAUGAAUUUUCUGAAGAUGCUAAUAGAGAAGACCCUGAAGGAUAGAGAGGAGUCCAAUCUGGAUGAUGUGUCUUUGCCCCAAAAGGACCCGUCUGAUGAAAACGGGCAUCAUAACCCUGGCUUGGCCGUUGAUUCUCAUCAUGCGGAAGGAUCAAGGCGUCCUUCUUUCUUCAGCGAGGAACCCCUUCUGAACAGCCCUGCACACAGCACCGAAGACAAGCCUAACGAGACCAAUCCUACCGGAGGAGACUCUGCACCUUCUGGCCAGACAUUCAUGAACACAGAGGGCUCUUGUCGAUGGUCCCAACCUCUGCCUGCUGCUUCAGCCACCACUGAUAUUUCCUUGGCUUCAACACGGAACUCACUGCAAGGCAAGGGGAGCCGUAGCCUGAAUAGUAGUAGGAGGACAAGGAAGGGCAAGGGGCAGUCCGGAGCACCCGCCGUCGCUCCUCCAACCGAGAAAAAAUCACGAGGUGCAAGCAUCGUGAGCCGGUUAAACUCCACGGUCGAACGGAUCGAAGCGUGGAGAUGA
Molecule: ribosomal RNA, 1449 nt
Filed under: Triticum aestivum (bread wheat)
Lineage: Eukaryota; Viridiplantae; Streptophyta; Magnoliopsida; Poales; Poaceae
Description: partial small subunit ribosomal RNA
Source: RNAcentral